RNAcentral lists this ribosomal RNA (465 nucleotides) under Vreelandella stevensii. Its description in RNAcentral is "partial 16S ribosomal RNA". It matches the Rfam family "Bacterial small subunit ribosomal RNA", at positions 338 to 795 of the family's 1533-position model. The record is from RNAcentral. Lineage: Bacteria; Pseudomonadati; Pseudomonadota; Gammaproteobacteria; Oceanospirillales; Halomonadaceae.
CCUACGGGUGGCUGCAGUGGGGAAUAUUGGACAAUGGGGGCAACCCUGAUCCAGCCAUGCCGCGUGUGUGAAGAAGGCCCUCGGGUUGUAAAGCACUUUCAGUGAGGAAGAACGCCUGGUGGUUAAUACCCAUCAGGAAAGACAUCACUCACAGAAGAAGCACCGGCUAACUCCGUGCCAGCAGCCGCGGUAAUACGGAGGGUGCGAGCGUUAAUCGGAAUUACUGGGCGUAAAGCGCGCGUAGGUGGCUUGAUAAGCCGGUUGUGAAAGCCCCGGGCUCAACCUGGGAACGGCAUCCGGAACUGUCAAGCUAGAGUGCAGGAGAGGAAGGUAGAAUUCCCGGUGUAGCGGUGAAAUGCGUAGAGAUCGGGAGGAAUACCAGUGGCGAAGGCGGCCUUCUGGACUGACACUGACACUGAGGUGCGAAAGCGUGGGUAGCAAACAGGAUUAGAUACCCCGGUAAUC